GAGAAUAUAUUAAUUAGAGAGUGACAUAUGGCGAUUGGUAUUGGAGAAGGCAGAUGUAGAACUCUUGCCUCAUUUGGUUUUAAGCUAUAAGAGCACAUUGUAGAAUUUCUACAACCCAAAUUUAGAAAUUAUAUUUAGUAGUAUUUUUUUUUGGUGAGAUUCUUUUUUUUAUGCUCUUUCUUGUUGUGAUGACAAGAAAUUCGUCUUCAUUGGAAAAUACAAAUUGACGAAACAAAGUUGCUGAUAUAUGGGCUCCAGACUUC
RNAcentral lists this long non-coding RNA (263 nucleotides) under Salvia miltiorrhiza (redroot sage). RNAcentral's name for it is "long non-coding RNA (SMIL_LNC002074)". Lineage: Eukaryota; Viridiplantae; Streptophyta; Magnoliopsida; Lamiales; Lamiaceae. The record is from RNAcentral.